This is a long non-coding RNA of Helianthus annuus (common sunflower), 2456 nucleotides long. RefSeq lists it as uncharacterized. The record is from RefSeq and is a predicted model, not a curated record. The transcript has 3 exons. NCBI's taxonomy places the organism in Eukaryota, Viridiplantae, Streptophyta, Magnoliopsida, Asterales, Asteraceae.
CAUCGAUCUUUUCACUCUUUAUCCCCUCCACAUUUAUUCCAUCCCCAACCUCAUUCCCGCUCCCACUCCAUAGACGAACAAAAGCCACACUCUGAUAAACCUCAUUCCCAUAGAAAACCCAAACUCCGAUCGAAUGGACUCAUCUUCCCAACAAAAACCUAAACACUCACUUUGCUAUUUAUGAACCCAUUUUUUUUCAAAUCAAGCUCAACGACGGCACACUCCAAAACCCUAAUUAAUCAAAUGAAAGGUUCCAGAACUAACUAACGGUUUUUGUUAAAUGGAUGUAUCGCCGUGAAAAUUGAUUGAUCGGAAGUGUGAAAAUGAGAACUGGCAGGCAACAGGUGACGCUCCAGGACCUUGUCGAGGAGGCGAAGAAGCGGAAUGUUUUCCUGUUCAUGUGCAGUGUUGGACUAUCAUACCUGAUGUCUUGUAAGUUUUUUGUUUUGGAAUUGUGUUCGGAAAAUGUACUUAUUUGGAAUUGUGUUCAGAAAUUGUCGUUAGUUGUUCAGAUAUUUUGGAUAUAUAUGUUUGUUCAUACAUUCAGGGCUGUAAUUUUGUUUAGAUCAAGACAUGUUCGGGUUGAGCAUUAUGGUUUGGAAAAAAAAAAGUUUAUUUUGGCUCAUGAUUCGAGGAUUGCGUGUUUUACGCAGGCACAUGAUGUGCAUAUAAUUGCUAUUGGCAGUACCAAGGGACGCUGAUUCAGAUUUUGAUACGUAUGAUGGGACUCUGUUGCAGGAGGCAAGAAGAUUGCUACCAACUUGUAAAAGAAACACCAUUUACCUCGCUAUAAUGUUUAGGAGUACGGGUGCAAACGAGCCUAGCUAUUCGAGCUCGGCUCGAAAAAAAAAAGCUCGAACGAGCCGAGCUUAAACGAGCUUGAGCUCGAGCCCGAGUCUAAAAACAAGCUCAUUUGGUAAACAAGCCCGAGCUUCGCUUAUCGAGCUUAAGCCGGCCUGCGAGCCUAAACGAGCUUUCUGUUUAUAUAUUUUUAUUAUUAUUUUUAUAUAAUAAUAAUUACCAUUUAUAUAAAUAUAAAAAAAUAACUAAAUUAUAUGUUUAAUAAUAAUUAUAAUUAAUAUAAAUUAAUUAAUAAAUACUAAACGAGUCGAGCCCAAGACGAGCUUGAGCUUGAAAAAUUACCUUCGAGCCGAGCUCGAGCUUUAGAAAUAAAUAAAGCUCGAAUCGAGCCGAGCUCGAGCUUUCAUAUGUUAAAUGAGCUCGAGCUCGAGCUCGAGCUCGAGCGUGGCCGAGCUCGGGCUCGGCUCGAGCGCACUUAGGAGUAAGUGUUCUUUUCCCUUGCUCUGUCUCUUUUUUGCAUUCUAAGCAGUAAGCACGCAUCAUUCUAGGGUUAACAUCUAAUAUCUGAUCUUAUAAAUUGAUAUAGCAAUGUUAUUCCAACUAUAUGGAUUCUUUACCAUACACAUCUGAUUUUUUAUAGAUAUAGAUAGUAUGUUAAAAGAUUGCAUUGGAGUUAUCAUGUGACUACAUUCAAUUUAUUUGUUAUAAUGCCAUAUUCAAGUUUAAUACACCCCUAGCCAUCUAAGUAGUUAAUGCGGUAAAAUAUCGGAUAUCGGUCAAGGACUGAUAUCUGAGAUAUCGGUUAUCGCAGUGAGAUAUCGGUGGGAUAUCGGUAAUUAUAAUAUCAUGCUAAAUUUAUAUAUAUAGCAAUUUAACACUAACAAUUCAUUAUACCCUCCUACCAUUAACAUUUUGCAACUUGGAAAACACUAACAAUUGUAGCAAGUAAGAACUGACUAAGACUUAAAACACUAACAUUUAACAGUAACAACUAACAAUUAAGACUUAAAAAACUAAUAGCAAAAACAAGAAGAAAGAUGAACAAUAGGACUUAGAAGAAAGGUACUGGUAUCGAGAAAAUCGGCGAUUUAUCGGUCAAAUAUCAGUCCAAUAUCGGUCAAAUAUCGGACAAUAUCGCUGAUAUUAUCGGUACUGAUAUUCUAGCUGAUAUUUUGUACCGCUAUCUCGGUAGGGGACCGAUAACCGAUAUAUCACUGAUAUAUCGGUUGAUAUAUCGGGAUAUUAACUACAUAGCUAGCCAUUGAGUUACUCAAAUAACUGAAUUCACCACUACACUUGAACAUAAGAAAAAAAAAUACAUUCUCAUUCUCGUAUCAUAACAUUUUCUAAUAAUUCGUACAAAUCUUCCACUCGUUAAUAAAAUGUAUAUAAGUUCCCCAAGUAUCUUUUGGUGUUUCUAAAAUAUGUAUAAUUUUUGUUCUUGUGUAACUCUUUCAGAUUAUGGGAAGAGCAGAGGAAUACUCUGCUGCGGACAUGGCUUUCGCGGAGAAUGGUCGAGUUAUACACCAAUGUAACACUUGUUCUUAUUAUUCACCGUUUAACGUAUAUUUUACGAAAAACAAUCAUGUAAUUCAGAUUACAUAAACAUUUGGAAAUACGGGUUUAUUAAAACUUUUACAAUUUAUAAUUUAUUC